This 383-nucleotide ribosomal RNA is filed under the name uncultured eukaryote. RNAcentral describes it as "partial 18S ribosomal RNA". It matches the Rfam family "Eukaryotic small subunit ribosomal RNA", at positions 592 to 976 of the family's 1831-position model. The record is from RNAcentral.
CAAUAGCGUAUAUUAAAGUUGUUGCAGUUAAAAAGCUCGUAGUUGGAUUUCUGGUGGGAGCGAUCGGUCUGGCGCUUAGCGCGAGUACUUGCAUCGUCUCCGGCCAUCCUUGGGGAGAGUCUGUCUGGCAUUAGGUUGUCGGGCAGAGGAUCCUCAUCGUUUACUGUGAAAAAAUUAGAGUGUUCAAAGCAGGCUUAUGCCGUUGAAUAUAUUAGCAUGGAAUAAUAAGAUAGGACUUUGGUACUAUUUUGUUGGUUUGCGCACCAAAGUAAUGAUUAAUAGGGACAGUUGGGGGUAUUCGUAUUCCAUUGUCAGAGGUGAAAUUCUUGGAUUUUUGGAAGACGAACUACUGCGAAAGCAUUUACCAAGGAUGUUUUCAUUAA